CUCUCUCUCUCUUUCUCUCUCUCUAUUACAGCUCUCGUUUCCUCUGCCAGCUGGAGCAGGAUCUGUAGUCGACGAAAGAUCUCUAGAUAUUGAAAUUUGAAUUCUGCGAUGCGGGAUCCGUGUUAGCAAUACCAUUCUUUGAUCUAUCGGUCGUUAAAUUAUCAUUUUUUAUUUCUUGUGAAACGAUUGCUUUCUUUUCUGUAAUCGAAUUCGAUCUUGAGAGCUGAACAUCGAUAUGUCGGGAACGUUGGAUCGCUUCGCGAGGCCUUGCUUUGAGGGCUUUUCCGGCCAUGAUGAAAGGAGAGAACGGAAAUCAGAUUUUGAAAACUCAGAGGAUGACAGGAAGACUAGAAUUGGAAAUCUAAAGAGGAAAGCAAUGAAGGCAUCUAAAAAGAUCAGGCGUUCUCUCCAUAAGAGGAAGAGUAAAAGUAGCGGGGAAGGGAUUACUGCCGCAAUUGAGGAUGUUCGGGAUGUUGAGGAACUGCGGGCUGUUGAUGAAUUCCGUCAGACAUUGAUCAUGGACGAAUUACUAC
This 533-nucleotide unclassified non-coding RNA is filed under the name Hevea brasiliensis (rubber tree). Lineage: Eukaryota; Viridiplantae; Streptophyta; Magnoliopsida; Malpighiales; Euphorbiaceae. The record is from RNAcentral.